RNAcentral lists this ribosomal RNA (270 nucleotides) under uncultured bacterium. Its description in RNAcentral is "partial 16S ribosomal RNA". It matches the Rfam family "Bacterial small subunit ribosomal RNA", at positions 57 to 305 of the family's 1533-position model. The record is from RNAcentral.
GCAAGUCGAACGGGGUUUUUACUAGUAGCAAUACCUGUAAAAACCUAGUGGCAGACGGGUGCGUAACACGUGAACAAUCUACCUCUUAGUGGGGAAUAAUGCGCCGAAAGGCGUACUAAUACCGCAUGUGGUGGUCUUUCGCAUGAAAGACCUACCAAAGCUGGGGAUCUUCGGACCUGGCGCUAGGAGAGGAGUUCGCGGCCUAUCAGCUUGUUGGUGAGGUAACGGCUCACCAAGGCAAAGACGGGUAGCUGGUCUGAGAGGAUGAUC